AGGGGUUUAAGUUAAUGUAAGACUAAGGGCCUUCAAAGCCCUAAGCGGGGGUUAAAACCCCUCAACCUCUG
RNAcentral lists this transfer RNA (71 nucleotides) under Callionymus curvicornis. Its description in RNAcentral is "Repomucenus curvicornis tRNA-Trp". It matches the Rfam family "tRNA". Rfam says of the family: Transfer RNA (tRNA) molecules are approximately 80 nucleotides in length. Their secondary structure includes four short double-helical elements and three loops (D, anti-codon, and T loops). The record is from RNAcentral. Lineage: Eukaryota; Metazoa; Chordata; Actinopteri; Syngnathiformes; Callionymidae.